RNAcentral lists this ribosomal RNA (412 nucleotides) under uncultured microorganism. RNAcentral describes it as "bacterial SSU rRNA". It matches the Rfam family "Bacterial small subunit ribosomal RNA", at positions 9 to 417 of the family's 1533-position model. The record is from RNAcentral.
GAGUUUGAUCGUGGCUCAGAUUGAACGCUGGCGGCAUGCCUUACACAUGCAAGUCGAACGGCAGCAUGAUCUAGCUUGCUAGAUUGAUGGCGAGUGGCGAACGGGUGAGUAAUACAUCGGAACGUGCCCUGCAGUGGGGGAUAACUAGUCGAAAGAUUAGCUAAUACCGCAUACGACCUGAGGGUGAAAGUGGGGGACCGCAAGGCCUCAUGCUAUAGGAGCGGCCGAUGUCUGAUUAGCUAGUUGGUGGGGUAAAGGCCCACCAAGGCGACGAUCAGUAGCUGGUCUGAGAGGACGAUCAGCCACACUGGGACUGAGACACGGCCCAGACUCCUACGGGAGGCAGCAGUGGGGAAUUUUGGACAAUGGGCGAAAGCCUGAUCCAGCAAUGCCGCGUGUGUGAAGAAGGCCU